This 466-nucleotide ribosomal RNA is filed under the name uncultured bacterium. Its description in RNAcentral is "partial 16S ribosomal RNA". It matches the Rfam family "Bacterial small subunit ribosomal RNA", at positions 28 to 507 of the family's 1533-position model. The record is from RNAcentral.
GAUGAACGCUGGCGGCGUGCUUAACACAUGCAAGUCGAACGGAAAGGCCACAGCUUGCUGUGGUACUCGAGUGGCGAACGGGUGAGUAACACGUGGGUGAUCUGCCCUGUACUUCGGGAUAAGCUUGGGAAACUGGGUCUAAUACCGGAUAGGAAUCACAUGUGGGUGUGUGGUUGGAAAGCUUUUGCGGUAUGGGAUGAGCUCGCGGCCUAUCAGCUUGUUGGUGGGGUAAUGGCCUACCAAGGCGUCGACGGGUAGCCGGCCUGAGAGGGUGUACGGCCACAUUGGGACUGAGAUACGGCCCAGACUCCUACGGGAGGCAGCAGUGGGGAAUAUUGCACAAUGGGCGCAAGCCUGAUGCAGCGACGCCGCGUGGGGGAUGACGACCUUCGGGUUGUAAACUCCUUUCGUCAGGGACGAAGCGAAAGUGACGGUACCUGGAUAAGAAGCACCGGCUAACUACGUG